RNAcentral lists this ribosomal RNA (284 nucleotides) under uncultured bacterium. RNAcentral describes it as "partial 16S ribosomal RNA". It matches the Rfam family "Bacterial small subunit ribosomal RNA", at positions 28 to 311 of the family's 1533-position model. The record is from RNAcentral.
GAUGAACGCUAGCGGCAGGCCUAAUACAUGCAAGUCGAACGGUAAGUAUGAUAGCAAUAUUGUACCAAGAGUGACGUACGGGUGCGUAACACGUAUGCAACCUACCCUUUACAGAUGGAUAGCUCGGGGAAACUCGAAUUAACCCGUCAUAAUAUAAUUGAAUGGCAUCAUUUGGUUAUUAAAUCUACGGAGGUAAAGGAUGGGCAUGCGUCUGAUUAGUUAGUUGGCGGGAACGGCCCACCAAGACGACGAUCAGUAGGGGAACUGAGAGGUUGAUCCCCCAC